UUGUACCGACUCUCUCUCUCU
Molecule: small nuclear RNA, 21 nt
Filed under: Arabidopsis thaliana (thale cress)
Lineage: Eukaryota; Viridiplantae; Streptophyta; Magnoliopsida; Brassicales; Brassicaceae
Description: snRNA_07396
Source: RNAcentral